GUCAUUUUGAGUGGAUCCUAAUCCAAUGACUGAUGUCUUUAUGAAAUAUAGAAAUUUGGACACAGAGGCAGAUAUGAACAGAGGGAAGAUUAUGUGAUGAGAAUAGGAGAAUGCCACAAGACAAGGACACCAUGGACUAACAGCAGCUGGAAGACACAGAGAACGAUCCUCCCUGUCAGGUUUCAGAGAGAGCACUGCCUGCUGACAUCUUGAUGUUAGACUUCUAGCCUCUGAAAUGGUUCUAGAAGUCAGUAGCAUUCCUUGGCUUGUGAAAUCCUUCCUCCAUCUUCAAAUCCAAAAACAGAUAAUCUCCCUAUUUUAAGGUCAUCUGAUUAGGAACUUCAAUGCCAUCUGGAAUCUUCAUUCCCCAUUGCCCAUAUCCAGGUCCAGCACUGACCACAGGGGAUCCAUGACCCCUUCUUCCAUCCAAGAGCACCAGUGGACACGUAUUCUGCAGCCUUCAUAGUAAGUUGUUUCUGGCAAGAGAAGGACAACAAACUGCUAAAGGAACAAGGAUAGACUCCGCUUCUUAAAUAUUGGCAAACAGGCAGCGAGGGCUGGAGACACUUUCUCAGGUCAGUACACAGACAAAACAAAAAUAUCUGAUGGACUCUCAAAUUGGUCUAGGAGCUAAACACAGCAAGCAACACUCCAGUUAAUAUAAAGAAGGCUUCCAACAGAAACCAAGAGGAGAGCAAGGAGAAAUGCACAGAACUUGCCCGUUCUGUUGAAAGACAAACUUGAGGCCUAAACUAGCUUCUAAAUGAAGGACGAGAGAACAUUUCAAUAAAUAAAUACCUACAUAAAAUAAAAUGGUAACCCUAUAAAAACAUUGAGUAACAUAAAAUUAGAAACUUUUUAUUCAACACUUUCAGGGAAGGCUCUAGAAAAGGAGCAAAAUAAUCUUCUCCGUUUUCUUAAUGCAUUUCAUGAAACAAGGAUGUUCAUGGCAUGAACGUUGAGAACGUUUGGGCAAUAGACCUUAGCAAAGAGUUGGCCAGGGAGAAAGUACAGAUGGCAAGAGAGCUGGAUUUAAUAAAGAAAGGUGAAAGACAGUGACAGAAUUUGUUACUUUUAGAAUCUUUAAAGUAAAGAACAGGACUGCUACCAGAGAAAUCAAAGCAGUGACAUUGGAGGCCGUUCGAAGAGUCAGAACAAAACAUGAAACAUGAAUGAGAACAUGGGACGUGAGCAGGAUCGACUAGAGAUCUAAGCCGUGAUAACUGGGAAAGUAAGAUAGCAGCAGGGACUAGAAGAAUUUCUUGAAGAAGAGAACUAUCUUGAGUUGAAUAAAUCCAUUAAGUACCAACAAAAGUAUAAUUAAAAUAAACUAAUAUCCAGAUAGAUCAGGUGAAAUUUUCACUUCAAGGGCAAGAAAAACAAUGCUAGAAAUAUCCAAUUUGAAAAAUGAAGAAGGUCAGUUUGAAAUACAAAUGUUGCAGACAAAUGGAAAAAAAUAUAUCAGAAUGACUUCAGUAUUCUUUUUUCUUUGAGGAGGAAAAGUUGAAAAUGGAAAAUUUUCUUCAGAAGUAAAAGCACUUGUCUCUGAUUUGGUUUCCCCUUUCCAAGUGCAGCUAAGAUUGCAAUUCUAUGCCUGUUUAAACUUCGUGUAGGUGAAGUUGUAAUGAUAAAAUGAAAAUAGGUAGUCAGGGGCCAGCCCGGUGGUGCAGCGGUUAAGUUCACACAUUCUGCUUCAGUGGCCCAGGGUUCACUGGUUCGGAUCCCAGGUGUGGACAUGGCACCUCUUGGUGAGCCAUGCUGUGGUAGGUGUCCCACAUAUAAAGGGGAGGAAGAUGGGCAUGGGUGUUAGCUCAGGGCCAGUCUUCCUCAAAAAAAAGAAAGAAAGAAAAUAGUCAGAUAGAUGAGAUAUAAAUAGAUAUCUCCUUUAAGGUAGUGCUAGUUGAAAUCCAAUGCACAUCCUACUGCUGGUCUGGGACAAUAUAAGUAUAGAAACUGAAUAUAAAUUGAGACUAUGCAUUUAGCCCUUUAAUAGCAAUUUGCCAUUGCAUGACAUCUGAGAACGCAACAGUAUAUUUUAACAAAAAUGAGUCUGCAAAAAUUUGAAAUUACAAAUAAACUUGCUCUUUACCACAGAUAAUUUGAGGAACUCUUAUCUCAAAAGAUGAAGUGGGGCUUAAAAUGCAAAUCUAAAGACAUUUCAAGGAAACAAAAACAGGAAGGAGGUACAUGUUGAUUGGCGACAUCACAUUGAAGCAAAAGAGAUAAACUUGAUAUUCUAUCAGUUAGUAUUUUUUUUUUUUUGAGGAAGAUUAGCCCUGAGUUAACUGCUGCCAGUUCUCCUCUUUUUGCUGAGGAUGACUGGUCCUGAGCUAACAUCCGUGUCCAUCUUCCUCUACUUUAUAUGUGGGACGCCUACCACAGCAUGGCUCACCAAGCGGUGCCAUGUCCGCACCCGGGAUCCGAACCAGCGAACCCCGGGCCACCGAAGCAGAUCGUGUGCACUUAACCACUGCGCCACCAGGCAGGCCCCUCAGUUGGUAUUGUUUAGUGACAAAAAUUGGCAAACUCAAAUAACUUUGACUCAACAAGAAAUAGCUUUCCCUCUCUCUCUGUAAGAAUUCUGGAGGUCAGCCAUCCAGGGCAGGUCAGGCGAGUCCUUCUUCACCAUCCUUAGAUUGAGGUCUAUAUUCUCAAGGAGGAAGAAUGGAAAGACAACAAGUUGUCUGCCUCCCAGCUGAAUUAGCCCCUUUAAAAAAAUAAUUUUCUGUGAUCACCACCUCAGAAAUUCUGCUUUUAUCUCAAUGGUUGAAAGAGCCUAAAAUGGAAUCUGAGAAGUAUACUUUUACAGAUGGGCACAUCCUUGUCCCUGACUUUACAGGAACAGAGUCCUAAGGAAGAACAGGGCAAGGGACAAUGAGUAGAUAACUUUCAGCCUUGACUUUUCGAAUGGUCCCCAUCACUACUAUUGUGACUAGGUUCUUCCCGCUUCUAGACGAAACUAGAACUAGAAACUCUGCUUCCUGUCAGCUUCUCCUCCAUUUUUGACCAACUCAGGAAAUGGCCCUAGAUUUCAUUUGCUUCAAUCAAAAUUCAGGAAGUUGUGUUUAGCACUAUUCAGCAUAUAAGAAAAAGUUAUGACUCAGAAAAUUUCUUCACAGCUGUUCCAUGUGGUAGAAAUUAUUUCUUUUCCCUUCUACUACAUUUUAACUGGAGUUGAACUCUCCAACUGGAGUUAAAAAUUGCCUUGCUUAGUUGGCUAUAUGCCUAUCAAUUAUUCACAAUAACUUCCUUCCAUAAGUGUAAAUCUUCUUUCAAUACAUCCAAACACAUCGGGUGUGAUGUUGUCACGUUCUUGUGGCCAUCUCCCCGGAGCCCUCGGAUUGUCUCUUCAGUCAGGAACAGAAAGGUCAGCUGCACAGCUGUUGCCCUGAGAUUUUGUAUUCUAUAACCUUCUUUCUCUUGUGCUGAGCUCCCUCUUUCUUGGUUUCCAUUUAUUACUGUUUUCUGUUUCACUACUUCACUUUGGGGAGACCGCUCUUUCAAUAAUUUCCUGAGAAAUAGUCAAGGGAAAUCAAUUUUUUGAGGUCUUCCUUGUCUGAAAAACUUUGUUGUUCUAUCAUCAUAUGUAAGUGAUAUUUAUAUUUAGUAUAGAUUUAUAGGAUAGAAAUAAACUUUCCUCAAGUUUUGAAGGCAUAUUUCCAAUUUGGGAUUAAACUUCCAGGGCUGCAGGUAACCAUUUGGAUGCUAUUCAGAUUCCAUAUGCUUCGCAUGUGCCCUUAUUUUCUUUGUCUCUCUCUAAAACACUUUAACGUCUUAUCUUUGUGCCCAGUGUUGUAACAUUUCCUGAUCAUAUGCCUUGCGGUAGGUAUUUGUGUCAUUAAUUGUGGUAGGCAUUUGACAGAUCUUUUCAACCAGAAAACUCAAAGCACUUGAGUCUGUAAAAAUUUUUUAAUUUAAUUGUUUUGCUGGGUGGAGUACUGUACGAUUUGGAAUUCUUAUUACAUUCAACCUGUAGAACUAAUCCUGUUGUAUUUUUAAACUUUUCUAUUUAUCAUAUUUUAAACUUAUGAUUUGCUUUAUCGGUGAUUUCCGCAACUUUAGCUUGUAAGCCAUCUGUUAUGUACUGAAUUGUGUCCCCCAAAAUUCCUAACCUCCAGUUGAAGUCCUAACCCCAAGUGCCCCAGACCAUGACUAUAUUUAGAGAUACAGUCUUUAAGGAGGCAAUUAAAUUGAAAUGAGAAUAUUAGGGUAGACCCUAAUAAGAAGAUGAAAUAGGAACACAGAUAGCUAAAGACAUACAGAGAGAAGACCAAGUGAAGACACAGAGAGAAGACAGCCAUCUACAAGCCAAGGAGAGAGGCCUCAGAAGAAAUCCAACCCUGUGUACACCUUGAUCUUGGACUUCUAGCCUCCAGAACUGCUCCUCACCAUCCCAGGCAACGAAGGUGUUGAUAACGUGUUGAUUUGAUAUUGAGAAGAAGCAACUAAGAAGAGCGGGAACUUCCGGAGAACAAUGUUAAAUCAGGAGACACUAUUCUCUGCCUACAUUAAUCAAAUGUCUAUAAAUUAAGCGUAAAUUACACUUUAAACUGGAAAACAAUUCAAAAUUGUUGUGAAAAACUGUAGACUUUGGAGUCAGUCAUGCCUGGUUUUAACUCCUGACUUUCCAGCUGGGACAACUCAUGAAGUUUUCUUGAGGCAACAGCAGAUCUUAAAGAUAACACACUAGUGCUUUUAACACAGUGCUGGCAAAUAUUAGCUGGCAGGGAAGUGGAGUUAUCGUAUGAUUGCUGUUAUUGUUUUGGUGGUUAUUUUGAUGAUUGUUAUCAUUUGAUUAGUUAGGGCCCCAGAAGCUGGGAAAAGGAGGAGUAAUAGCAAAUCAGCAAAACAUCAUCUUGUGAAGAAAGAAGUGGUGAAAUAACUAUGCCCUAAACAGUACAGAAAUAACUCCCUGGUUUGUGGGCUAAAGUUUGAAUUAUUAUAAUAUGUAUUAUUUCGAGACCCUGCACAAAAGCUCUGAUAAGUGCCUCCUCUCUUUUGUGGCUGAUAUGGAGGUGAUUAAGAAUAUUAUAAUCGUUAGCACUUUAGAUUUAUUCUAUUUAUUGUGGUAGGUAAAAUAAUGGCCCCCCCAAAAUAUCCAUUUCCUAAAUCUGAGAACCUGUAACUACAUUACCUUAUGUAGCUAAAGGGACUUUGCAGAUGUGAUUAGGGCUAUAAACCUUGAUAUGGGAAAAUAUCCUGUAUUAUUUGGAUAGGCCCAAUUUAAUCACAUGAGCUCUUAAAAGCAGAAGAUGGAGGCAGAAGAGCUGGUCAGAGAGAUGUAACACGAGAAGAACCUGAUCCAUCAUGGUUGGCUUGGGAGAUAGAGGAAAGGGGCCAAGAGCAAAGAGGGUGGGGAUGCCUCUAGUAAAUGGGAAAAGACCUUGGCUACCAGCUCAACAACUGCAAGGAACUGAAUCCCACCAACAUCCCAAAUGAGCAUCUUUUAGAACCUCCAGGAAGGAACACAGCCCUGCCAGAAGCUUCAAUUUUGUUCACUGACACUUAUGUUGGACCUCUGUUAAAAGAAUUAUAAAAUAAUAAAUUGUGUUGCCUAAGCUGAUAAAUUCAUGGUCAUUUGUUAUGGCAGAAAUAGAAAACUAAUAUAUCUAUGACUGAAAAAGAUUAUGUACAUAACUAAACACUGAUGUUCUUUAAUGCCAGAUUAUGAUUGCUGAUCUAUAUACCUUGAAGUUAUAUUUAUUGGAGGAUAAAUCUUGAGAGUGUUAAUAUGCACAUAACCAAAAUAAAAAUUUUACUGGACAUAUGUUUCAAUAUUUGGGAUACAAAAAUACCAAUAUAUUUUUUAGCAAUAAUGCAUAAUACAAUAC
This is a long non-coding RNA of Equus caballus (horse), 5831 nucleotides long. The record is from Ensembl. NCBI's taxonomy places the organism in Eukaryota, Metazoa, Chordata, Mammalia, Perissodactyla, Equidae.